Molecule: ribosomal RNA, 205 nt
Filed under: uncultured microorganism
Description: partial 16S ribosomal RNA
Rfam family: Bacterial small subunit ribosomal RNA
Source: RNAcentral
GAGUUUGAUCGUGGCUCAGGAUGAACGCUGGCGGCGUGCCUAAUACAUGCAAGUCGAACGAACAGAUAAGGAGCUUUGCUCCUUUGACGUUAGCGGCGGACGGGUGAGUAACACGUGGGUAACCUACCUAUAAGACUGGAAUAACUCCGGGAAACCGGGGCUAAUGCCGGAUAACAUGUUGAACCGCAUGGUUCUACAGUGAAAG